UAGCCGUAAACGAUACUCGCUAGGUGUCGGCCACGGUGCGACCGUUGUCGGUGCCGUAGGGAAGCCGUGAAGCGAGCCACCUGGGAAGUACGGCCGCAAGGCUGAAACUUAAAGGAAUUGGCGGGGGAGCACCACAACGGGUGGAGCUUGCGGUUUAAUUGGACUCAACGCCGGGAAGCUCACCGGAUAAGACAGCGGAAUGAUUGCCGGGCUGAAGACCCUGCAUGACCAGCUGAGAGGAGGUGCAUGGGCGUAGACGUCU
This 262-nucleotide ribosomal RNA is filed under the name uncultured archaeon. RNAcentral describes it as "partial 16S ribosomal RNA". It matches the Rfam family "Archaeal small subunit ribosomal RNA", at positions 748 to 1009 of the family's 1478-position model. The record is from RNAcentral.